This 807-nucleotide ribosomal RNA is filed under the name Exiguobacterium acetylicum. Its description in RNAcentral is "bacterial SSU rRNA". It matches the Rfam family "Bacterial small subunit ribosomal RNA", at positions 57 to 835 of the family's 1533-position model. The record is from RNAcentral. Lineage: Bacteria; Bacillati; Bacillota; Bacilli; Caryophanales.
GCAGUCGAGCGCAGGAACUGACGGAACUCUUCGGAGGGAAGGCAGUGGAAUGAGCGGCGGACGGGUGAGUAACACGUAAGGAACCUGCCUCAAGGAUUGGGAUAACUCCGAGAAAUCGGAGCUAAUACCGGAUAGUUCAACGGACCGCAUGGUCCGCUGAUGAAAGGCGCUCCGGCGUCACCUUGAGAUGGCCUUGCGGUGCAUUAGCUAGUUGGUGGGGUAACGGCCCACCAAGGCGACGAUGCAUAGCCGACCUGAGAGGGUGAUCGGCCACACUGGGACUGAGACACGGCCCAGACUCCUACGGGAGGCAGCAGUAGGGAAUCUUCCACAAUGGACGAAAGUCUGAUGGAGCAACGCCGCGUGAGUGAUGAAGGUUUUCGGAUCGUAAAACUCUGUUGUAAGGGAAGAACACGUACGAGAGGAAAUGCUCGUACCUUGACGGUACCUUACGAGAAAGCCACGGCUAACUACGUGCCAGCAGCCGCGGUAAUACGUAGGUGGCAAGCGUUGUCCGGAAUUAUUGGGCGUAAAGCGCGCGCAGGCGGCCUUUUAAGUCUGAUGUGAAAGCCCCCGGCUCAACCGGGGAGGGCCAUUGGAAACUGGAAGGCUUGAGUACAGAAGAGAAGAGUGGAAUUCCACGUGUAGCGGUGAAAUGCGUAGAGAUGUGGAGGAACACCAGUGGCGAAGGGCGACUCUUUGGUCUGUAACUGACGCUGAGGCGCGAAAGCGUGGGGGAGCAAACAGGAUUAGAUACCCUGGUAGUCCACGCCGUAGACGAUGAGUGCUAGGUGUUGGGGGGGUUUC